This 292-nucleotide ribosomal RNA is filed under the name uncultured bacterium. RNAcentral's name for it is "partial 16S ribosomal RNA". It matches the Rfam family "Bacterial small subunit ribosomal RNA", at positions 505 to 796 of the family's 1533-position model. The record is from RNAcentral.
GUGCCAGCAGCCGCGGUAAUACGAAGGUCCCGAGCGUUGUUCGGAAUCACUGGGCGUAAAGGGAGCGUAGGCGGUUUGGUAAGUCAGAUGUGAAAUCCCGGGGCUCAACCCCGGAACUGCAUCCGAUACUGCCAGACUUGAGUAAUGGAGAGGUAGCUGGAAUUAUCGGUGUAGCAGUGAAAUGCGUAGAUAUCGAUAGGAACACUCGUGGCGAAAGCGAGCUACUGGACAUUUACUGACGCUGAGGCUCGAAGGCUAGGGGAGCGAAAGGGAUUAGAUACCCGUGUAGUCC